RNAcentral lists this unclassified non-coding RNA (619 nucleotides) under Exophiala spinifera. RNAcentral describes it as "sequence contains 18S rRNA gene, ITS1, 5.8S rRNA gene, ITS2, 28S rRNA gene". The stretch from base 236 to 390 matches the Rfam family "5.8S ribosomal RNA". The record is from RNAcentral. Lineage: Eukaryota; Fungi; Ascomycota; Eurotiomycetes; Chaetothyriales; Herpotrichiellaceae.
UCGUAACAAGGUCUUCGUAGGUGAACCUGCGGAGGGAUCAUUACCGAGUUAGGGUCCUCACAGGCCCGACCUCCCAACCCAUUGUUUAUGAUACUCAGUGUUGCUUCGGCAGGCCUGGUCUUUGACCUGCCGGAGGGCCGUAACACGCCCCCCGGAGAGCGCCUGCCGACGGCCCCAACUUCAAAAUUCUUAACUAAACAUGUCUUUGUCUAAGUACAGUCUUUAAUAAAAGCAAAACUUUCAACAACGGAUCUCUUGGUUCUGGCAUCGAUGAAGAACGCAGCGAAAUGCGAUAAGUAAUGCGAAUUGCAGAAUUCUCGUGAGUCAUCGAAUCUUUGAACGCACAUUGCGCCCUUUGGUAUUCCGAAGGGCAUGCCUGUUCGAGCGUCAUUUUCACCCCUCAAGCCCCCGGCUUGGUGUUGGACGGUUUGGUCCCGGGACCCCCCUGGACCCCUCCCAAAGACAAUGACGGCGGGCUGUCGCACCCCCGGUACACUGAGCAUCUUCACGGAGCACGUACCGGUCUCCAGGGUCGACGGCACCCGGUCUCACACCUAUAUCUUUCAAGGUUGACCUCGGAUCAGGUAGGAAUACCCGCUGAACUUAAGCAUAUCAAUAA